GGAAUCUUCCACAAUGGGCGCAAGCCUGAUGGAGCAACGCCGCGUGAGUGAAGAAGAUUUUCGGAUCGUAAAGCUCUGUUGUAAGAGAAGAACGUGUGUGAGAGUGGAAAGUUCACACAGUGACGGUAACUUACCAGAAAGGGACGGCUAACUACGUGCCAG
Molecule: ribosomal RNA, 162 nt
Filed under: uncultured bacterium
Lineage: Bacteria
Description: partial 16S rRNA
Rfam family: Bacterial small subunit ribosomal RNA
Source: RNAcentral